Molecule: long non-coding RNA, 867 nt
Organism: Patiria miniata (bat star)
Lineage: Eukaryota; Metazoa; Echinodermata; Asteroidea; Valvatida; Asterinidae
Exons: 3
Source: RefSeq, a predicted model, not a curated record
AAUCGUUACAAGCAAUACAAAAGUCCAUCACUUUUACUCACAUUUUAGUUAUAUAAUAUUAGUAACAAUAAGCAUCUGUACAAGGCUAGUAUCAGGGGUCUGAACAACAGCGUCUACAUUACUUUAAUACUUCAAUUCCUUUGUAUAGCCUCGCCCAGUAGGGCCCCUGUUUGUGACCGUACAGUGGAUUAAUCUCAUUGCCUAUUUUGAAUAAUUAUAUACUACACUGGAAUUAGAGCCCUUGCUCCUGUCUACAGGAUUAAUUAUAAGAGCCUUUGAAUUCUUAAGUAGAUUAAAGCCUUCGCCCUCCACCAUGGGUUGGGAUCUCUAUUAUUAAGCAAAUACUUUCACAAGUGGGUUAAGUGGGUUACUUUUUGUUAUUAGGAAAUUCCUUUAAUUGUUAUGCUCCUUCACUAUAUCCCCGGGUUCCUUGGCCGCAUGUGGACUUUCAGACUGGGCGUUGGCCGUGCAUGUUGUUUGUAAGUUUAUGUAGUCGCGUAGAUAGGCCUGCACUGCUGUGGCUGAAUCUGUUAAUAUAGUGGCUAGAGACCCUGUACCUCUGACUGUCAGCUCCACCGUGACACCAGGCUUCUGUUCCGGUGGGCAGGAGGUCCCGCACAACUCCUGGCAGGAAGGGCAGAUGAUGGUCCCCGUGUGGAGGUACGCACUGGUUGUCACGCUGAUCUCAAUCUGCUGACCCUUCCAGGAGCACAGGUGGUUGACUCCUUCCACAGUGAUCUUCAGUCCGUCGCUGCCACAGGAAUACUGAUCAGAAAGGGCAUCAGGACGAAAGACUGGAGCAAGUCUAGCCUCACCUGUUUAACCUGAUGGGACCUGUUGAAGUUGACCUGACAUUCAGCAUACGGG